GACGAACGCUGGCGGCGUGCUUAACACAUGCAAGUCGAACGGAAAGGCCCUGCUUGCAGGGUACUCGAGUGGCGAACGGGUGAGUAACACGUGGGUGAUCUGCCCUGCACUUCGGGAUAAGCCUGGGAAACUGGGUCUAAUACCGGAUAGGAGCCAUUUUUAGGUUGAUGGUUGGAAGGUUUUUUCGGUGUAGGAUGAGCUCGCGGCCUAUCAGCUUGUUGGUGGGGUAAUGGCCUACCAAGGCGGCGACGGGUAGCCGGCCUGAGAGGGUGGACGGCCACAUUGGGACUGAGAUACGGCCCAGACUCCUACGGGAGGCAGCAGUGGGGAAUAUUGCACAAUGGGCGCAAGCCUGAUGCAGCGACGCCGCGUGGGGGAUGACGGCCUUCGGGUUGUAAACUCCUUUCGCUAGGGACGAAGCUUUUUGUGACGGUACCUAGAUAAGAAGCACCGGCUAACUACGUG
This 465-nucleotide ribosomal RNA is filed under the name uncultured bacterium. RNAcentral describes it as "partial 16S ribosomal RNA". It matches the Rfam family "Bacterial small subunit ribosomal RNA", at positions 28 to 507 of the family's 1533-position model. The record is from RNAcentral.